Molecule: unclassified non-coding RNA, 2746 nt
Filed under: Stegodyphus dumicola
Lineage: Eukaryota; Metazoa; Arthropoda; Arachnida; Araneae; Eresidae
Description: solute carrier family 12 member 6-like, transcript variant X1
Source: RNAcentral
UUCUAUUAGAUCACAGAGAUGCAGAACCUAUUAUUCUGGAAGGAAAUCUUUCCAGUUAUGAAAAGAAUCUUUAUUUAUAUCAUGAGGAAAUGCCCGAAAGACCUAGAGUUGCAACUCUAUUGAAUUCUUUAGCUAAUUAUAAUGUUGCUAUACCAAGUGUGUCAGAAAAUUCUACAUCUCUUCCAAAGAAAGCUAACUUGGGUACUGUUGCAGGCGUUUAUCUACCAUGCAUUCAAAAUAUUUUGGGAGUUAUUUUUUUCAUUCGAAUGGGGUGGAUUGUUGGAACAGCUGGUGUCCCUCUGGCUUUUGCCAUAGUUUUCUUAUCAUGUUGUGUUACAUUUACAACUUGUAUAUCCUUGAGUGCAAUUGCAACAAAUGGCAUUGUCCCAGCGGGUGGUUCAUACUUUAUGAUAUCCCGUUCCUUGGGACCUGAAUUUGGUGGAGCAGUAGGUAUUUUAUUCUACUUAGCCACUUCAGUAGCUGCUGCUAUGUACAUCACUGGGGCAGUUGAAAUUUUUUUGAAUUAUAUGGCACCAAGUCUGUCACUGUUUGGAGACAUAAGUGAUCCAUUUAUCAUGUCCAACAAUUUUCGAAUUUAUGGUACAGUACUACUAAUUAUUGUUGGUACCAUUGUUUUUAUUGGUGUUAAAUUUGUGAGCAAAUUUGCACCUGUUGCGCUUUUCUGUGUCAUCAUAUCUCUGAUUGCUGUGUAUGUUGGGGUAUUUGUCAACUUUUAUGGAAAAGAAGAUACAAAAAUUUGUAUAUUGGGUGAUCGACUGCUAAGUAAAGGAAAUUAUUCUUGUUCAAAAGACCAGAAUGAAACCAAUUCAUUAUUUUAUCUUUAUUGCCAAGAGGUAAAUAAAACAGAAUCUGGAGAACCUAUGUAUUCAUGUGAUUCAUAUUUCGAAAAUAAUGAAGUGAAAAUGAAAUUAGGAAUUCCUGGAAUGUCAAAUGAUGUUUUUCAUUCAAAUAUUCCAAGUCGUUUUCGUCAGAAAGGUGAUUAUGUAUCCGAAAGUGUUAAUCGUGAGGAUGCCAAUUCAUAUGGUCAAAAAACAUACAACCAAAUUUUAGUAGACAUCACCACAUCAUUUACUUUAUUGCUUGCUAUAUUUUUUCCGUCAUGCACUGGAAUUUUAGCAGGCUCCAACAGAUCUGGUGAUUUGGCUGAUGCACAGAAAUCCAUUCCUGCAGGCACAUUAGCUGCUCAGCUUACAACUUCCAUAAUAUAUUUGUCAGGUGUUUUGUUAUUUGGAGCAACUUUUAACAAUCUUUUCAUGCGAGAUAAAUUUGGUGAGAGUAUAGGAGGAGGAUUAGCAGUUGCAAAUUUAGCUUGGCCUCAUCCAUGGGUAGUAAUCAUUGGUUCUUUAUUGUCAACAGUUGGUGCUGGUCUGCAGUCUCUUACAGGAGCUCCACGACUGCUGCAGGCUAUUGCAAAAGAUCAAAUUAUACCAUUUUUAAAUGCAUUUUCAUAUAGUUCAACACGAAAUGAGCCUACUAGAGCUUUGUUCCUUACGCUUUUUAUCUGCGAAAUUGGUAUAUUAAUUGGAAAUCUGGAUCACAUUGCACCCAUUCUAACAAUGUUUUUUCUGAUGUGCUAUAUGUUUGUAAACCUUGCUUGUGCUUUACAAAGCCUUCUUCAUACACCUAAUUGGCGUCCACGUUUCAAAUAUUAUCAUUGGUCACUUUCAAUGGCAGGUGCAAUAUUGUGUUUAGUUGUUAUGUUUCUGAGUAGCUGGUAUUAUGCAUUAAUUGCCAUUGCUAUAGCUGGAUGUGUUUAUAAAUACAUUGAAUAUUGUGGUGCUGAAAAAGAAUGGGGAGAUGGUAUAAGAGGUCUAGCUCUAUCAGCUGCUCGUUACAGUUUACUGAGAUUAGAAGAAGGACCUCCGCAUACAAAGAACUGGAGACCACAAGUUUUGAUUUUGUGCAAAUUAGAUGAAGAACUGAAUCCAAAAUAUCCAAGAAUGUUUUCUUUUGCUUCUCAGCUGAAAGCUGGGAAAGGUUUGACCAUAGUAUGUUCUGUGCUGGAAGGUGCUUUUGAUAAGAUGUACAGUGAAGCCCAAGCAGCAAAACUGAGUUUAAAAAGAACAAUGGAUGAAGAAAAAGUAAAAGGUUUUGCUGAUGUUUUAGUAGCCAAAGAUCUCACUGAAGGCAUUUGUCAUUUGAUUCAAACAGCUGGUAUUGGAGGUCUAAAGCAUAAUACUGUAAUCCUUGGCUGGCCAUAUGGCUGGAGACAGAGUGCAGAUGAGAAGCAAUGGAGAGUAUUUCUUCAUACUAUCCGUAGUGUGUCAGCCAGCAAGAAUGCUCUUUUGGUUCCAAAAGGUAUUAAUCUUUUUCCAAGUAACAAUGAAAAAGUGUCCGGAAAUAUUGACGUUUGGUGGAUUGUACAUGAUGGUGGUUUAUUAAUGUUACUACCAUUUUUACUCAAACAGCACAAGACAUGGAAAAAUUGCAAGCUGAGAAUAUUUACUGUUGCCCAGCUUGAAGACAAUAGCAUACAAAUGAAAAAAGAUUUGUCGAAGUUUUUAUAUCAUUUAAGAAUAGAAGCUGAUGUAGAAGUUGUGGAGAUGGUCUACUUCUUGACCUUGGGCUUGCCUCAUUUCUAUUGCAGAUAUGCUACUGAUGGAUAGUGAUAUAUCUGCAUAUACAUAUGAAAGGACAUUAUUGAUGGAGCAGCGCAAUGAAAUAUUGAAGCAGUUGAAACUUUCUUGUGGAGGUGGUACAACAUUUAAAGAUGUUCAAAAUAUUG